AUUGAACGCUGGCGGCAGGCCUAACACAUGCAAGUCGAACGAGUGGCGGACGGGUGAGUAACGUCUGGGCAACUGCCCGAUGGAGGGGGAUAACUACUGGAAACGGUAGCUAAUACCGCAUACCAUCGGAUGUGCCCCAAGGGGAUUAGCUAGUUGGUGGGGUAAAGGCUCACCUAGGCGACGAUCCAUAGCUGGUCUGAGAGGAUGACCAGCCACAAUGGAACUGAGAUACGGUCCAGACUCCUACGGUAGGCAGCAGUGGGGAAGAUUGCACAAUGGGCGCAAGCCUGACGCAGCCAUGCCGCGUGUAUGAAGAAGGCCUUCGGGUUGUAAAGUACUUUCAGCGGGGAGGCGGUACCCGCAGAAGAAGCACCGGCUAACUCCGUGCCAGCAGCCGCGGUAAUUC
RNAcentral lists this ribosomal RNA (406 nucleotides) under uncultured bacterium. Its description in RNAcentral is "partial 16S ribosomal RNA". It matches the Rfam family "Bacterial small subunit ribosomal RNA", at positions 30 to 526 of the family's 1533-position model. The record is from RNAcentral.